Molecule: ribosomal RNA, 764 nt
Filed under: uncultured bacterium
Lineage: Bacteria
Description: bacterial SSU rRNA
Rfam family: Bacterial small subunit ribosomal RNA
Source: RNAcentral
ACACUGACGCUCAUGUACGAAAGCGUGGGUAGCAAACAGGAUUAGAUACCCUGGUAGUCCACGCCCUAAACGAUGUCAACUGGUUGUUGGGGGAGUGAAAUCCCUUAGUAACGAAGCUAACGCGUGAAGUUGACCGCCUGGGGAGUACGGUCGCAAGAUUAAAACUCAAAGGAAUUGACGGGGACCCGCACAAGCGGUGGAUGAUGUGGAUUAAUUCGAUGCAACGCGAAAAACCUUACCUACCCUUGACAUGUCCGGAAUCCUGAAGAGAUUUGGGAGUGCUCGAAAGAGAGCCGGAACACAGGUGCUGCAUGGCUGUCGUCAGCUCGUGUCGUGAGAUGUUGGGUUAAGUCCCGCAACGAGCGCAACCCUUAUCAUUAGUUGCUACGCAAGGGCACUCUAAUGAGACUGCCGGUGACAAACCGGAGGAAGGUGGGGAUGACGUCAAGUCCUCAUGGCCCUUAUGGGUAGGGCUUCACACGUCAUACAAUGGUCGGUACAGAGGGUUGCCAAGCCGCGAGGUGGAGCCAAUCCCAGAAAGCCGAUCGUAGUCCGGAUUGUUCUCUGCAACUCGAGAGCAUGAAGUCGGAAUCGCUAGUAAUCGCGGAUCAGCAUGUCGCGGUGAAUACGUUCCCGGGUCUUGUACACACCGCCCGUCACACCAUGGGAGUGGAAUCUGGCAGAAGUAGGUAGCCUAACCGCAAGGAGGGCGCUUACCACGCUGGGUUUCAUGACUGGGGUGAAGUCGUAACAAGGUAACCGUA